UACGUAGGGGGCAAGCGUUGUCCGGAAUCAUUGGGCGUAAAGAGCGUGUAGGCGGUCCGGUAAGUCGGUUGUGAAAGUCCAGGGCUCAACCCUGGGAUGCCGAUCGAUACUGUCGGACUAGAGUUCGGAAGAGGCGAGUGGAAUUCCCGGUGUAGCGGUGAAAUGCGCAGAUAUCAGGAAGAACACCCGUGGCGAAAGCGGCUCUCUGGAACGGUACUGACGCUGAGACGCGAAAGCGUGGGGAGCGAACAGG
This 253-nucleotide ribosomal RNA is filed under the name uncultured bacterium. RNAcentral's name for it is "partial 16S ribosomal RNA". It matches the Rfam family "Bacterial small subunit ribosomal RNA", at positions 524 to 776 of the family's 1533-position model. The record is from RNAcentral.